Cyanidioschyzon merolae strain 10D is the source of this 3029-nucleotide RNA transcript. RefSeq lists it as hypothetical. The record is from RefSeq and is a predicted model, not a curated record. The transcript has a single exon. NCBI's taxonomy places the organism in Eukaryota, Rhodophyta, Bangiophyceae, Cyanidiales, Cyanidiaceae.
AUCGAUGCCCCGGAGCUGAGACUGCGCGUCUUCACCCGUUCACGACAUUUCCUUCGAUAUCGAUAGGUGACAGUCACUAGGGGAUCCUUGGUCAGAAACAACGGUCCUAGGUCAUGAAAGAAACCGUACGAGGCAUUCGCCCAAGCCGUGACGUCGCCGUGCGAAAACCGUGGCGGAACCGGCGCAUUCCGCGUUACCGGAGGCGUCAGCACAAGACGCUGCACCCAGAACACCGAUCGCACCAGCCUGGUCUAUCUUUCUUUCCAGACUUGGAAACCACUCUGGGGUACGUAGAAUGCUGAUGGAUCCGGAGAGCUUAGCUCUUUUUUUCUUGCUUAACAGCUGAAAAUGCCUUCUCGGGGAAUCCUGGUCUGAUGCAUAAAUCCGACUCCAUGAAAGAAGCUUGCGGAUUAGGCGCCAAGCGCGUCCCAGGAUCGUAUGCUGGCACUCAGUGCGUACGCGAAUGCGAGAAUGCUCGGGGUCCAGCAGCGCCAUAACCGCCACCUGAGAACGUCUGACCGAAUGAGGACGCUUCGUCCGCAUCAUGAGAUAGUGAGACAUCGUGCGGAGACGUCUCCUGGAAUGGGCGUCGAGCAAGAGACGCUGUACGUGUCGCCACUGUUGCCGAGCGGUUGUUGUAUUGUAGGCUUCGGCGAUGUUUAAACAAGCGAUACAUUGCCGGUUUAGAAUCUAAGACAGCGACAGAGGCUCGAACUGGACGACACCGCGCAGCUGAGCCUGGAUUAUGCAACGGGAGCGUUCCAUGCUGCGUAGCGGAAACGCAGGCAAUUGCGGGGUAAAAGAAACUAUACUCAUGUCUGCGGUAGUUGCUGCAAAAGUAGCGACUCUCGCAACGAAAGUUUACCGGCGACAGAGCGCUCUGGUGACUGAUCAGAGCGUCUCAAAUUCGGCAUCUGUUUCGCCUGCGUGGAUAUGUGCAGACGCGCACUGGGCGCAAACCGCAUGUGUAGACGUGAUGACUCCGUACCGGCAACCGAGUGCUCUGUCUCUAGUCCGGGGCGUAGACGUGCGUUUGCGUGUGUGCAUGGGCGUGUUUGUGAGGGCGUCCAUGCCGGCUGAGUUGCCCUCGCUGCACGCAACACGAGUCAGAAGCUGCAAAGCUGUGGAUUUCCUGACCCGAACAGAAGGAUUCACGAACGCCCACCUGGAGGACGCCGCCACCACUUGGGCAACCGCUGCUUCAACUGCUGCUCAGCGUCGUUGCGAGCUCUAUCCGCCUUCGAGAAAGCAUCCGGCUCGCGAUCUCCGGUACCUGCAUCUUCCGAACGAAUCUGCUUGCCGGCGUUGGCUGCCGUGCCGUCUGCGGUCGCCGCGGCAGCCUCCGGUGGCGUGGUAUGUGGUGACGAAAUGACACCAGCAUACUCGCGACGCAGCGCCUCUGCCUGUGCAACCUCCUUCGCAAAUGCAGCCUCCAGCGGGGACUUCUCCAAGCGAGAACGAAAUUCUGGGCGCAAGCCCAGAGUAACAUACGUAUUCGAUGUUGACGGAACCAGGACUAGCACAGAAGCUGGGCAGAGUUGCACUUGGUGCAGCGUUGUUGGCCCGGCAUGCAGCACCCGUUUCGGUGGCGUUUGAUAGAGCUUGAAUGCGUCCAAGGCCCCGUUCGUGCUCGUUACAAAGCGCCGCACGAAAGCGUACAGGUCGUCUAGGCUUUCGUUGCACCAGAAACGACCCUCAAUGACCGUCUGAUCGGGAAGCCGGACACGUACCACACACUGCUCCGGCUGCGUUGCGCCUGCUCGUGAAGCAGUUGUAUGCCUGCGGGUUCGGAGAACGGUUGCUUCUUCCUGUUGUCGCUGCUGUGCAUGAAGGAUCCGUCGCAGUUCCCCCGGUGUUAGAUCGUAAAAAGUAUCGGGUAGGUCGAGGAGCUGCGCAUCAAAGCGGAUCGUCGUCGGCAGGUAGAAACGGACAUACCGCUCAGGCACCUGACCUGCAGGUGCUCCUGCAUUUCCGUUCGUCUCUAAAACAGGGGCGUCAGAUGCAGUGCGACCUGGAAUCAGCAGCUCCGAGGUUGACUCCGCUCCCUGUAUAGGUAUCUGGGUUGUACCUGAUUCCGUGUUCACCGACGAGGCCGAGUUUCGUGCAUCCGCUGGCUCAGCUACGACUCCAUCGACUUUCGGGACAGAGGUGUCCACUUCGUGCAUCUCGACAAGAGCGUAAGUGGACGGCCUCGCGCCUCGACUUGAAGGCGACGGUGUCCGUGGGUUCGUGCUCGCGUCGGCUCGCGUGUCUCUUUGCCGAUCACCAUUGGCAGUCGAGGGAUCACUGGAGCCAGUAACCGGCACGCGCUCUCCUUGCGGAGAUGAUGCUGCUGGCUCCUCGAUCGUUCGGGAGACAGUGUCGAGCACGCGUGCUGGGGCAUCCACGAAAGCGGACUUCGCUCCUGGAUUUCCCAAAACCAGGUGCGUACUUUGCUGCUCGACAUGCUGCAGAUGCAAAUCGGCAGUUGCCUGUGAUUCUCGCGUCGCCGCCUGACCGCUGCUCACCUUGUCCACAGAUGCGAUAUCAGAACCGCCUGUUGCAUCCGCGUGAUCGUGCCUGUUGGAAGCGACCGGCGAUCGAGCCGCCCCUGCCGACGCUUCCACCUCCUCCCAGCCACCGGAGUCGUCAUCCGUGGUGAGGCACUGUAUUCGAAUCAGGAGACGCGUGCCCGGACUUAGGCCCAGAUCUCGUAAGCGGAGGCUUCGAAAAUGGCUGACUCCAUAGUGCGCAGUCUCCAGGUACCGUGCGACUAGCAAGUAGGGGCGGCACCACCACAGACGCUCCGGAUUCGCCCGCUCGAGCACGCUCCAGAGCGUAUCCUCCAAUACUGCAGGUGCGAUGUAGCGCUCUGGGGGGUCGCUCUCGUACUGCACAGCCACAGUCAGCGAAUGCGCAGGUGUGACGCCCUGAGCGAGGUCUGCUGUCUGUCCAGGUUUUCCAGUAACGCUCGUCUUCGCCGUUUCACUGACACUGCGCUCGUCAACAACUAUCCGGGCCUGAGCCGAUAAACCCGACAGCCGAAAAGG